CAAAAAUAGGGGGGAACUGGGAGCCGCAAUAGGGGGGGAUAAUCACGGCGCUCAGUUUGAGCUUGCGUCUUAUGGGUGGCGAGUGGCGGACGGGUGAGGAAUACAUCGGAAUCUACCUUUUCGUGGGGGAUAACGUAGGGAAACUUACGCUAAUACCGCAUACGACCUUCGGAUGAAAGCAGGGGACCUUCGGGCCUUGCGCGGAUAGAUGAGCCGAUGUCGGAUUAGCUAGUUGGCGGGGUAAAGGCCCACCGAGGGGACGAUCCGUAGCUGGUCUGAGAGGAUGAUCAGCCACACUGGAACUGAAACACGGUCCAGACUCCACGGGAGGCAGCAGUGGGGAAUGUUGGACAAUGGGCGCAAGCCUGAUCCAACCAUACCGCGUGGGUGAAGAAGGCCUUCGGGUUGUAAGCCCUUUUGUUGGAAAGAAAACAAUCAUUAAUACUCGGUGGUGUGCGGUCCCAAGAAUAAGCCCGGGUUAAUUCUUGCAGCGCCGCGUAAUCAAAGGGGCAGCGUACUCGGAAUACUGGGCGUAAGCUGCGUGGGGGUUGUUAUGUUUUUUUU
Molecule: ribosomal RNA, 564 nt
Filed under: bacterium OTU3
Lineage: Bacteria
Description: partial 16S ribosomal RNA
Rfam family: Bacterial small subunit ribosomal RNA
Source: RNAcentral